UUGGACCGAUUAAAUUGAUAGGUAGCAUUUCGUAACGUUUUGAAAUUCGGUAAAUAAAACGUUUUAAGACAUGAUUAAGAAUCUCGUGUACAUGAGUUGAGUGAAAAUAGAUUGUAGGUUAAGAAGUACGUUUGCUAAAACAAUGUAUUUUGAAAUUGGUAUAAGUGGGCAAUUUGAAUAAUGAUAAGUGAUUUAGAUAUAAAACAUGAUCGGAUUUACAUAAUAAAAUAUUUUGAAGGAAAGUUUUGAUAACGAUCACCUAGGUAAGGGAAUCACCCCUAACUCAUUGGUGAGGUCGUUUUAAGGGAAGAGGGAGUGGGGUUAAUCGUCAAGGUAAGGAAAUCACUCCUAUCUCGAUGAUAUGUCUCCCUUUGUCGUUACAAGGAAUAUGAAUUUUAAAUCAUAUGAAAUCAUGCAUAUGUAUAAAUGUAUGAAAAAGAUUUGGUAUGUUGUGUGUGUGUAAGGAAAAUAUCGAAAGUAAAUUUGAAUUUGAAAGAUUGUUUCGUAUAAGAUAAAUAAUAGAAACACAUGUUUGAUUAAAAUUUGGAUGGUUCCAAAAACGGAACUUUGACUAACCAAAGUGGUCGAAAAGUCUUUUGAAUUUGAGAAGCAUGCUUUGGCCUAAUAGGUGGAAUACUCUCGCCGACAAGUCGGUUAACGGUAUUUACCCUUCCGGUUACUACAUGCCCCAAAUCAAUCGAAAUUUCGAGACUUGGCGGGAUUUAUAAAAAAAAUCGAGGAGUGGAACUAGUCGACAAGGUGCGGGUUUCACCCCUAACUUGACGAUUUCGUAUCCUAAGUGUGGUUGGUACUCGUCGGGUCAAAAUUUAAUUUCGACACGUUGACGAGGGUCCACUAGAAUUUGAAAUUUGAAAUUUACCAUUAAGAUGUAGAUUUCACUCCUAGCUUAAUGCCGAUAUUUCGUGUAAAAAGAAUAGGUAGAUUGAGAGUCGUUCACCAAAUUGUGGGUUUCACGCCUAUUUUGGUGAAUUCUCGAGUAAAAUGUAUGAGGAAAAGCGUAUGUUGAAUAUUAACAAACAAGUAUAAAUAUGUCAAGAAU
Molecule: long non-coding RNA, 1060 nt
Filed under: Helianthus annuus (common sunflower)
Lineage: Eukaryota; Viridiplantae; Streptophyta; Magnoliopsida; Asterales; Asteraceae
Description: hypothetical non coding rna
Source: RNAcentral